This 817-nucleotide ribosomal RNA is filed under the name uncultured bacterium. RNAcentral describes it as "bacterial SSU rRNA". It matches the Rfam family "Bacterial small subunit ribosomal RNA", at positions 8 to 796 of the family's 1533-position model. The record is from RNAcentral.
AGAGUUUGAUCAUGGCUCAGAAUGAACGCUGGCGGCGUGCUUAACACAUGCAAGUCGUACGAGAACUCUUCUGCUUGCAGAAGAAAGUAAAGUGGCGCACGGGUGAGUAACGCGUGGGUAAUCUACCUUCGAAUUUGGGAUAACGUUGCGAAAGCGACGCUAAUACCGGAUAAUAUCAUUUUUUUCCUCGGAUGAAAUGAUCGAAGGUGGCCUCUACAUGUAAGCUACUGUUUGAAGAUGAGCCUGCGUACCAUUAGCUUGUUGGUGGGGUAAAAGCCUACCAAGGCUUCGAUGGUUAGCUGGUCUGAGAGGAUGAUCAGCCACACUGGAACUGACACACGGUCCAGACUCCUACGGGAGGCAGCAGUGAGGAAUUUUGCGCAAUGGGGGAAGCCCUGACGCAGCAACGCCGCGUGAGUGAUGAAGGCUUUCGGGUCGUAAAGCUCUGUCAAGUGGGAAGAACCUACGAUGUGUUAAUAUCACAUUGUACUGACGGUACCACUGAAGGAAGCACCGGCUAACUCCGUGCCAGCAGCCGCGGUAAUACGGGGGGUGCAAGCGUUAUUCGGAAUCAUUGGGCGUAAAGGGCGCGUAGGCGGCCUAUUAAGUCAGAUGUGAAAGCCCGGGGCUCAACCCCGGAAGUGCAUUUGAAACUAAUAGGCUUGAGUAUGGGAGAGGGAAGUGGAAUUCCUGGUGUAGAGGUGAAAUUCGUAGAUAUCAGGAGGAACACCGGUGGCGAAGGCGACUUCCUGGACCAAUACUGACGCUGAGGCGCGAAGGCGUGGGUAGCAAACAGGAUUAGAUACCCUAGUAGUCC